This 775-nucleotide ribosomal RNA is filed under the name uncultured Neocallimastigales. Its description in RNAcentral is "partial large subunit ribosomal RNA". It matches the Rfam family "Eukaryotic large subunit ribosomal RNA", at positions 24 to 614 of the family's 3401-position model. Lineage: Eukaryota; Fungi; Neocallimastigomycota; Neocallimastigomycetes; Neocallimastigales. The record is from RNAcentral.
AUCUCUGUAGAGUCUGCAUAUCAAUAAGCGGAGGAAAAGAAACUAACAAGGAUUCCCUUAGUAACGGCGAGUGAAGCGGGAAGAGCUCAAAUUUGAAAUCUUCAAGGUUUUACCUUGACGAAUUGUAGUUUAAAGAAGUGUUUUCUGUUGAAGUUUCAGGUAAAAGUUCUUUGGAAUAGGACAUCAUAGAGGGUGAGAAUCCCGUAUUUGACCGUUAUUUUCAGCUGUGUGAUACACUUUCAAAGAGUCGGAUUGUUUGGGAAUGCAGUCCAAAAUGGGUGGUAAAUUUCAUCUAAAGCUAAAUAUUGGCGAGAGACCGAUAGCGAACAAGUACCGUGAGGGAAAGAUGAAAAGAACUUUGAAAAGAGAGUUAAACAGUACGUGAAAUUGUCAAAAGGGAAGCGUUUGACACCAGUGUUGUUUUCUCGAAAAUCAAUUAAAAAUGGCCGGAUUUUGUGUUGUAUUGACUUUAUCAGCUUUCUGCACUUUUUUCUUGUCUUUUUUAAUGCACUUUUCGUUUAACAAGUCAACAUCAAUUUCUUUUGUUGUAAAAGGGUCAUUGGAAGGUGGCUUUCUUUUCGGAGAAAGUGUUUAUAGCCUUUGACUCCUGCAAUCGGAGAGACUGAGGUCUGCAGCGUAGAUCCUUCUUGGAUUAGAUUCAUUUGUGCUAAGUUAUAGCUUUUUAUAGACAACAUGUUGACUAUAUUUAGUCUUGUAGCUUACUCGCUUAUGUAAUUUUACCUACGCUUAGGAUGUUGAACGCGCACAGAGUCUC